UCCCUGGUGGUCCAGUGAUUAAGACUCUGCGCUUCUACUGCAGGGGCACGGGUUCAGCCCUGGUCAGGGAA
Molecule: transfer RNA, 71 nt
Filed under: Ovis aries (sheep)
Lineage: Eukaryota; Metazoa; Chordata; Mammalia; Artiodactyla; Bovidae
Rfam family: tRNA
About the family: Transfer RNA (tRNA) molecules are approximately 80 nucleotides in length. Their secondary structure includes four short double-helical elements and three loops (D, anti-codon, and T loops). Further hydrogen bonds mediate the characteristic L-shaped molecular structure. tRNAs have two regions of fundamental functional importance: the anti-codon, which is responsible for specific mRNA codon recognition, and the 3' end, to which the tRNAs corresponding amino acid is attached (by aminoacyl-tRNA synthetases). tRNAs cope with the degeneracy of the genetic code in two manners: having more than one tRNA (with a specific anti-codon) for a particular amino acid; and 'wobble' base-pairing, i.e. permitting non-standard base-pairing at the 3rd anti-codon position.
Source: Rfam by way of RNAcentral